RNAcentral lists this ribosomal RNA (329 nucleotides) under uncultured eukaryote. RNAcentral's name for it is "partial 18S ribosomal RNA". It matches the Rfam family "Eukaryotic small subunit ribosomal RNA", at positions 1470 to 1796 of the family's 1831-position model. The record is from RNAcentral.
CCCUUAGAUGUUCUGGGCUGCACGCGCGCUACACUGAUGCAUCCAACAAGUUUUUUCCUUGUUCGAGAGGACUAGGUAAUCUUAUGAGAAUGCAUCGUGAUGGGGAUAGAUUAUUGCAAUUAUUAAUCUUCAACGAGGAAUUCCUAGUAAGCGCGAGUCAUCAGCUCGUGCUGAUUACGUCCCUGCCCUUUGUACACACCGCCCGUCGCUACUACUGAUUGGACGUUUAAGCAAGAUUUUUAAACACUGACAGUUAAUGGCUUCGGCCAAGACACAGUGAGAAGAAGAAGAUCGAGCUUACUUGUCUAGAGGAAGUAAAAGUCGUAACA